Molecule: ribosomal RNA, 800 nt
Filed under: uncultured bacterium
Lineage: Bacteria
Description: bacterial SSU rRNA
Rfam family: Bacterial small subunit ribosomal RNA
Source: RNAcentral
AGAGUUUGAUCCUGGCUCAGGACGAACGCUGGCGGCGCGCUUAACACAUGCAAGUCGAACGAUGAUGCUGGAGCUUGCUCCAGUUGAUUAGUGGCGAACGGGUGAGUAACACGUGAGCAAUCUGCCCUUGACUCUGGGAUAACUGCGGGAAACUGUAGCUAAUACCGGAUACUUUCACCGGAAGGCAUCUUCUGGUGAUGAAAGAAUUUCGGUCAGGGAUGAGCUCGCGGCCUAUCAGCUUGUUGGUGAGGUAACGGCUCACCAAGGCGACGACGGGUAACCGGCCUGAGAGGGUGACCGGUCACACUGGGACUGAGACACGGCCCAGACUCCUACGGGAGGCAGCAGUGGGGAAUAUUGCACAAUGGGCGCAAGCCUGAUGCAGCAACGCCGCGUGAGGGAUGAAGGCCUUCGGGUUGUAAACCUCUUUUAGCAGGGAAGAAGCGAAAGUGACGGUACCUGCAGAAAAAGCACCGGCUAACUACGUGCCAGCAGCCGCGGUAAUACGUAGGGUGCAAGCGUUGUCCGGAAUUAUUGGGCGUAAAGAGCUCGUAGGCGGUUUGUCACGUCUGCUGUGAAAAUCCAAGGCUCAACCUUGGACUUGCAGUGGGUACGGGCAGGCUAGAGUGCGGUAGGGGAGAUGGGAAUUCCUGGUGUAGCGGUGGAAUGCGCAGAUAUCAGGAGGAACACCAAUGGCGAAGGCACAUCUCUGGGCCGUAACUGACGCUGAGGAGCGAAAGCGUGGGGAGCAAACAGGAUUAGAUACCCUGGUAGUCCACGCCGUAAACGGUGGGUGCUAG